Lagopus muta (rock ptarmigan) is the source of this 2623-nucleotide long non-coding RNA. RefSeq lists it as uncharacterized. The record is from RefSeq and is a predicted model, not a curated record. NCBI's taxonomy places the organism in Eukaryota, Metazoa, Chordata, Aves, Galliformes, Phasianidae. The transcript has 3 exons.
CUAUCCCAGCUUUGCACUUCUUUCAGUGCACUCAUGCAGCAUCAGAAGCCACUAAAUGAGGCUAGCUCUACCCACAAGCUCCAAUUUUUGUAUUAUACAGGCACAUGUUCUCAAAGUAACGGUUAGCCACCUCUCAUUUUUCCUUCAGUUGUCCUUUUUCUCUCUUUCACACCUGUAGUGGAAAUGCUAAGUCAGGGCUUGAAACAAUGACUGAGCACCUGGUGGGAAGGCAGGUUUAACCCAGGGGAGCUCAGGUGCAAGCAAUGCAUUGAAUGACUGGAAGGAGUGAGGCAAGAGUUCACCCCUUCCCAGACCUCAUGUAAGGAAGUGGAGGCAAGGGUAUUUUGCUGGAGAUCCCUGUAUACCUGAAACUUUCUAAGGCCUUCCUGAUACGCUUCUAUGCUGAUACUGGCUGUCAUUGCUUUCCAUGCUGAGGAAGAACACAUUUGCUGAUACAGCAGAAGCUUUGAGCCACUCAUACCUGCUCAUACAAGUUUUCCUGUUUGCUUUCCAUUUGCAAACAGAGGAAGACCAUUAAAUGGCUUUGUGAAUCUUACUCACAGGAAACCAGCCCAGCACCGAGCAUCUGGGAACUAUUCUUCCUUCUCUAAACCACUUCCCUGGAAAGGUUUGACCACAUUAUUAAUGCUCCAGAGCUUAUAUUUGCAUUUAUAUUAAAGCUGCUCCUUCCCAUCUUGAUUCCCUGCUGCUUGUGGGUGUAGAAGUUCUGGAAGAUGGCAUCCCUCUCUUUCUCAGCUCGACCACUUCUAUUUUUUUUUUUUUGCUGUGGGAUGCUUGGCUGAUGUCGCAGAGCUGGGAAGAGAGCCAGCAGCACGAUGAGCUCAGCCUCCCUGGAUUGCAGCUGUGCAGGAGAGAAAUGCUGUCCAGCAGGUUGGAGGGCUGUGGGAUGCAGCAUCUUCGCUCCCAGUGUGGGAACCAGUCAGGUCGGAGGCCCAGUAGGAAAAGAAGCUAUGGGAGCUUCUCCCUCCUUCACCCCUCUUCUCUCUGUUGUGAGGCAGUGAAGCCUGGCUGUGAGCAAGCAACAGAGAGGUGGCACACAAAGUUCAGAUAGCCACUGCCUGGAUUUCUCAGCUGGGGUGAGGAGCUGGCAUGCUCUAAGCAUGACUAGUCUGUAAUAUAUAGAUGGUUGGGAGUGUGAGAACGCAGUUUUAUCUUACCACCAGGCAAUGAAGACAUUCCUCUCAAAGGCCAGCUCAUGUUCUUACACGACAAGCAGGAAGCACUGCCAUUCUCUCCUGGAGCUCCAGCUCUGUGAGAAAGGUGAAAAAAUCAAGGCUAGGACAUACCAGAUCUUUGCUGUUUCCAAGGAUGGUUUAUCUAGAACCGCACUUUUCUUCUUGCUUUUUCUCCCUCCUGCAAGGUGUAGAAAGUUGGCUGAACGACCACAGGAACAGGAGUGCGUAGGAGGAGCUCGGAGAGGACAUAUGGGGGCUGAGAAGGACUUCUUGAAAGUCAAAGGAACAGCUGAGUGCUGAAGGUGAGGAUAGGACACAAAGUAGCACCCCCAAGAUUUGCCCCUUUCAAGUCAUGCCACAGCAGAACAGGCUUUUCCACACUUUGAAUAGUCUCUAUAACAGCUCCACACAGAACUACAUGUAUUAGAGCAGCUAAUGCUCUCAGCAGCCAGCAUGGAGUGCAUCAGUUUUAUAAAGAUGUAUGCUGCAUACACAUCAUUUUCAACUAUUUCUUUACACAGUCAUUCUCUCCCCUCCUACACAUCUCUCCAUUUUAGGAGUAGAGACAAAUUGAAUAAGAGGGCAACCGGUCCUUGAACUGUUUUAUUUACCACUUUUGGCUGCAAACAGUUGAACUGAUCUUAUUACAAGAAAUCCCCUCCCAUAUGCUGUUAACACAGUUUCCAGAACACGUACUUUAGUAUGUUCACUAUUUCCCUGUUUGGACAAAGUACAUCUGUGUGACCUUCCCUUCCACGCAGACACAACAGAAAGAACAGAACACAGGUGGUGCAGACUUACGAUGCACUGGGUGGAUACCAAAUUCCUUCCACUGCUAACAUCUGAACCAAGCUACUUAGACUCAGGAGUUAGUUCUAACCAAGGGCUGGUAUUAUUAGUACUAGUCUCUUUUUUUGUCUAAAGGGAGAACACUUCCCAUUUGUUUAAGGAAGGGGUGGGAAGGGGCAGAGAAAGAGCUCCAAAAAGCACGUUUACAGUAGUUUACCAGGAAGAUCAUCUGGAACAACACUCCCAUCUGCUGGGCCAUCUACUCAUUGCAGCAGGGAAUUUAGCAGUAUGAAGAAAAAAAAAAACACCAACAAACUACACAAAAACCCCAUCUCUUCAAUCCAGCACCACAGCCUCUGGUUCAGAUGAUUAGAUAGAGAGCUGACUUUUGGGUCACAAGCAUUCUUGCCUACAGGAGCUGGCAGCAUCCAGCAGCAGUGCCCUCCUAGGGCAGCUGUAACCUCAGAAGAAAAGCUUGGGCUGAAAUAUGAGAAAGAGCUUUCUCCGUUUCAGACAUCUUUCUUGGAGAGGGGUGACUGAGCAGGCAGAGCAGGAGUCAUCUCAGUUCCAACCUGCACUCUGAAAGCCUGAGCAUGUAGGAGAGAAGAUGUCACAUGUCAAGAGGAAUCAGAGCAGGG